Pantherophis guttatus is the source of this 229-nucleotide non-coding RNA. The record is from RefSeq and is a predicted model, not a curated record. NCBI's taxonomy places the organism in Eukaryota, Metazoa, Chordata, Lepidosauria, Squamata, Colubridae.
CACCAUGAAGAUCCCACCAGUGAUGAUCAUCCUUUUGGCUCUGUGUAUCUAGUACAAUUCUGGAACCACUGUUCUGUCUUCCCACAAGAUCCAGCUGCCACCAUUAUUCUCUCAUAGCACAUUUAUUCAUCACAGGAAUAAAACACUGGUGGAAAUGAAUUGGAUGGAGAUCCUGGACAAUAGGCAUUUCCCACUACAUCUAUAUAAAUUUCAGAUGAAGCAAGUUAUG